GACGAACGCUGGCGGCGUGCUUAACACAUGCCAGUCGAACGGAAAGGCCCUGCUUGUGUGGGGUGCUCGAGUGGCGAACGGGUGAGUAACACGGGAGUAACCUGCCCUGGACUUGGGGAUAACUGCAGGAAACUGGGGCUAAUACCGGAUAGGAGCGCCUGCUGCAGGGGGGGGGUUGGAACGUUUCGGCGGUUGGGGAUGGACUCGCGGCUUAUCAGCUUGUUGGUGGGGUAGUGGCUUACCAAGGCUUUGACGGGUAGCCGGCCUGAGAGGGUGACCGGCCACAUUGGGACUGAGAUACGGCCCAGACUCCUACGGGAGGCAGCAGUGGGGAAUAUUGCACAAUGGGCGGACGCCUGAUGCAGCAACGCCGCGUGCGGGAUGACGGCCUUCGGGUUGUAAACCGCUUUCGCCUGUGACGAAGCGUGAGUGACGGUAAUGGGUAAAGAAGCACCGGCUAACUACGUG
RNAcentral lists this ribosomal RNA (468 nucleotides) under uncultured bacterium. RNAcentral's name for it is "partial 16S ribosomal RNA". It matches the Rfam family "Bacterial small subunit ribosomal RNA", at positions 28 to 507 of the family's 1533-position model. The record is from RNAcentral.